UUUAUAGAGAAGAAAAGAAGAAGAGAUUAGUCAAUGUUGUUUCAAAGCGGCCUGUAAAUUUGGUGGCUCUGCAAAUUUGUAACAGAAAUGGCAUUUGUUUGGAAAAACCACUGCUUACUCUAAAUCCCUAUUAUUAUCCAAUUAUUCUCCCAAAUCCCUAAACUUUCUCUAUAAAUAUACCCUCUCCCUUUCAAUUCAUUACGCUCUCUACCUUCCAGUCAUUCCCCCCUUCAAAAGUGUUAAACCCCACAAACCAGUUUUGCACUCUUCUUACCAUAUGUGAAUUCUCUCUCCUUCUCUCUAACUUGGUGAGGCUAAUGCCAUUCCUAUCUCUGUCGAGAUUUUUUGAUGUUAAUGGCAUUAUCCUUGCCUUGUUUUCCAAAUGUGAUAUGGAAUUGCUCAUUUAUCAUACGUUUCAAUUUGUGCCUACCACCUAACCUCUUCCAAAUUAACAAAAGGGGAAAAAAU
Amborella trichopoda is the source of this 468-nucleotide non-coding RNA. Lineage: Eukaryota; Viridiplantae; Streptophyta; Magnoliopsida; Amborellales; Amborellaceae. The record is from RefSeq and is a predicted model, not a curated record.